GACGAACGCUGGCGGCGUGCCUAAUACAUGCAAGUAGGACGCAGUUGCGAACGGGUGAGUAACGCGUAGGUAACUACCUAUUAGAGGGGGAUAACUAUUGGAAACGAUAGCUAAUACCGCAUACUAGUAGAUGGAACUGCGUUGUAUUAGCUAGUAGGUAGGGUAAUGGCCUACCUAGGCAACGAUACAUAGGCGACCGGAGAGGGUGAUCGGCGACAGUGGGAAGGGGACACGGCACAGACUCCUACGGGAGGAAGAAGUAGGGAAUCUUCGGAAAUGGGGGGAACCCUGACCGAGCAACGCCGCGUGAGUGAAGAAGGUUUUCGGAUCGUAAAGCUCUGUUGGUAAGGAAGCGGUACUUAACCAGAAAGGGACGGCUAACUACGUGCCAGCAGCCGCGGUAAUUC
This 407-nucleotide ribosomal RNA is filed under the name uncultured bacterium. RNAcentral describes it as "partial 16S ribosomal RNA". It matches the Rfam family "Bacterial small subunit ribosomal RNA", at positions 28 to 526 of the family's 1533-position model. The record is from RNAcentral.